UACGUAGGGCGCAAGCGUUGUCCGGAAUUAUUGGGCGUAAAGAGCUCGUAGGCGGUCUGUCGCGUCGGCUGUGAAAACUCGGGGCUCAACUCCGAGCUUGCAGUCGAUACGGGCAGGCUAGAGUUCGGCAGGGGAGACUGGAAUUCCUGGUGGUAGCGGUGAAAUGCGCAGAUAUCAGGAGGAACACCGGUGGCGAAGGCGGGUCUCUGGGCCGAUACUGACGCUGAGGAGCGAAAGCGUGGGGAGCGAACAGG
Molecule: ribosomal RNA, 254 nt
Filed under: uncultured bacterium
Lineage: Bacteria
Description: partial 16S ribosomal RNA
Rfam family: Bacterial small subunit ribosomal RNA
Source: RNAcentral